AUUGAACGCUGGCGGCAGGCCUAACACAUGCAAGUCGAGCGGAGCGGCGGACGGGUGAGUAAUGCCUAGGAAUCUGCCUGGUAGUGGGGGAUAACGUCAGGAAAAGGACGCUAAUACCGCAUACUCUCAGAUGAGCCUAGGUCGGAUUAGCUAGUUGUGGGGGUACAGGCCUACAAAGGCGACGAUCCGGAACUGGUCUGAGAGGAUGAUCAGUCACACGUGAACUGAGACACGGUCCAGACUCCGACGGGAGGCAGCAGUGGGGAAUAGUGGAAAAUGGGCGAAAGCCGGAUCCAGCCAGGCCGCGUGUGUGAAGAAGGUCUUCGGAUUGUAAAGCACUUUAAGUUGGGAGGCGUUACCAACAGAAUAAGCACCGGCGAACUUCGUGCCAGCAGCCGCGGUAAUAC
Molecule: ribosomal RNA, 407 nt
Filed under: uncultured bacterium
Lineage: Bacteria
Description: partial 16S ribosomal RNA
Rfam family: Bacterial small subunit ribosomal RNA
Source: RNAcentral